CGAUGACGCAUAGCCGAGUUGAGAGACUGAUCGGCCACAUUGGGACUGAGACACGGCCCAAACUCCUACGGGAGGCAGCAGUAGGGAAUCUUCCACAAUGGACGCAAGUCUGAUGGAGCAACGCCGCGCGAGUGAAGAAGGGUUUCGGCUCGUAAAGCUCUGUUGUUGGUGAAGAAGGACAGGGGUAGUAACUGGCCUUUAUUUGACGGUAAUCAACCAGAAAGUCACGGCUAACUACGUGCCAGCAGCCGCGGUAAU
This 258-nucleotide ribosomal RNA is filed under the name uncultured Lactobacillus sp. Its description in RNAcentral is "partial 16S ribosomal RNA". It matches the Rfam family "Bacterial small subunit ribosomal RNA", at positions 274 to 524 of the family's 1533-position model. The record is from RNAcentral. Lineage: Bacteria; Bacillati; Bacillota; Bacilli; Lactobacillales; Lactobacillaceae.